This is a non-coding RNA of Kogia breviceps (pygmy sperm whale), 613 nucleotides long. NCBI's taxonomy places the organism in Eukaryota, Metazoa, Chordata, Mammalia, Artiodactyla, Physeteridae. The record is from RefSeq and is a predicted model, not a curated record.
UGAGGGGAGGAGCCGAGCGGCGUACGCGGGAGGCAGCUUUCUCGACCUUCAGGCGCCCGGAGACAAGCGGGAGGUAGCUGGCGGCAGGACAGGAAUCUCUAAAGAGUGAGAGGAAAACUGAUGACAGGCACUGCCCAAAGAAGAUGGAACUGUCAUAGUUGGAUCUGCUUACCUCCCUGAGAACAUAAGCUUGAUGAAGGCAAGGCCGUUUCUUAUCACUGUUGAAUCCCAGUUCCUGGUACAGUGCCUGGCACAUAGUGGAUGGUCAAUGGAUUUAUGAAUGAAUGAACAAAUUAACAAACAACCAUGGGAUGUGUGAAGAGCAGUGAAAAGACUGGACUGUUUGGAAAGAAGUGUCUUUCCUUGAGGAGUAGAGGAAUCUCCGAUUCUCCAGCAGACUGGCAGAGGAACAAGUAAAUGGGCCUGCAUGGGAUUCAAAACACGGGCAAGUGGAACCAGCUGAACAAGGUAUGAUGAUUGCCAAGGUGGACCCUGUGUAGAUUGCAAUAGGGCACUUGAAUCUGAAAUUAAAUUAAAGCACAAACAAAGGAAAAUUGAUCUGCAGAGCCUCCUGGACUCUGCUUGGUCAGCCGACAGUUAGACUUAAAAAAAA